RNAcentral lists this ribosomal RNA (253 nucleotides) under uncultured bacterium. Its description in RNAcentral is "partial 16S ribosomal RNA". It matches the Rfam family "Bacterial small subunit ribosomal RNA", at positions 524 to 776 of the family's 1533-position model. The record is from RNAcentral.
UACGUAGGGCGCGAGCGUUAAUCGGAAUUACUGGGCGUAAAGCGUGCGUAGGCGGUUUUGUAAGUCAGAUGUGAAAUCCCCGGGCUUAACCUGGGAACUGCGUUUGUGACUGCAAGACUCGAGUACGGCAGAGGGGGGUGGAAUUCCACGUGUAGCAGUGAAAUGCGUAGAGAUGUGGAGGAACACCGGUGGCGAAGGCGGUUCUCUGGGAAUAUCCUGACGCUGAGGAGCGAAAGUGUGGGGAGCGAACAGG